CACGUAGGGGGCGAGCGUUGUCCGGAUUUAUUGGGCGUAAAGAGCUCGUAGGCGGUUCGGUAAGUCGGGUGUGAAAACUCUGGGCUCAACCCGGAGAGGCCACUCGAUACUGCCGUGACUUGAGUCUGGUAGGGGAGCACGGAAUUCCUGGUGUAGCGGUGAAAUGCACAGAUAUCAGGAGGAACACCGGUGGCGAAGGCGGUGCUCUGGGCCAGUACUGACGCUGAGGAGCGAAAGCGUGGGGAGCGAACAGG
RNAcentral lists this ribosomal RNA (254 nucleotides) under uncultured bacterium. RNAcentral's name for it is "partial 16S ribosomal RNA". It matches the Rfam family "Bacterial small subunit ribosomal RNA", at positions 524 to 776 of the family's 1533-position model. The record is from RNAcentral.